Molecule: ribosomal RNA, 468 nt
Filed under: uncultured bacterium
Lineage: Bacteria
Description: partial 16S ribosomal RNA
Rfam family: Bacterial small subunit ribosomal RNA
Source: RNAcentral
GACGAACGCUGGCGGCGUGCUUAACACAUGCAAGUCGAACGGAAAGGCCCUGCUUUUGUGGGGUGCUCGUGUGGCGAACGGGUGAGUAACACGCGAGUAACCUGCACUUGACUGUGGGAUAACAUCAGGAAACUGGGGCUAAUACCGGAUAGGAGCUCCUGCUGCAUGGUGGUGGUUGGAAAGUUACGGCGGUUGGGGAUGGACUCGCGGCUUAUCAGCUUGUUGGUGGGGUAGUGGCUUACCAAGGCUUUGACGGGUAGCCGGCCUGAGAGGGUGACCGGCCACAUUGGGACUGAGAUACGGACCAGACUCCUACGGGAGGCAGCAGUGGGGAAUAUUGCACAAUAGGCGGAAGCCUGAUGCAGAAACGCCGCGUGCGGGAUAACGGCCUUCGGGUUGUAAACCGAUUUCGACUGUGACGAAGCGUGAGUGACGGUAAUGGGUAAAGAAGCACCGGCUAACUACGUG